RNAcentral lists this ribosomal RNA (770 nucleotides) under uncultured bacterium. RNAcentral describes it as "bacterial SSU rRNA". It matches the Rfam family "Bacterial small subunit ribosomal RNA", at positions 125 to 931 of the family's 1533-position model. The record is from RNAcentral.
UCUACCAUAUAGUAAGGGAUAACAGUUGGAAACGACUGCUAAUACCAUAUACGCCCUUAGGGGGAAAGAUUUAUCGCUAUAUGAUGAGCCCGCGUAAGAUUAGCUAGUUGGUGAGGUAAUGGCUCACCAAGGCUACGAUCUUUAGCUGGUCUGAGAGGAUGAUCAGCCACACUGGAACUGAGACACGGUCCAGACUCCUACGGGAGGCAGCAGUGGGGAAUAUUGGACAAUGGGCGCAAGCCUGAUCCAGCCAUGCCGCGUGAAUGAUGAAGGCCUUAGGGUUGUAAAGUUCUUUCGCUAUCGAGGAUAAUGACUGUAGAUAGAUAAGAAGCCCCGGCUAACUUCGUGCCAGCAGCCGCGGUAAUACGAAGGGGGCUAGCGUUGUUCGGAAUCACUGGGCGUAAAGCGCGCGUAGGCGGCUAUUCAAGUCAGAGGUGAAAUCCCAGAGCUCAACUUUGGAACUGCCUUUGAAACUGUAUAGCUGGAGUGUUGGAGGGGAUAGCGGAAUUCCUAGUGUAGAGGUGAAAUUCGUAGAUACUAGGAGGAACACCGGUGGCGAAGGCGGCUAUCUGGACAACAACUGACGCUGAGGCGCGAAAGCGUGGGUAUCAAACAGGAUUAGAUACCCUGGUAGUCCACGCUGUAAACGAUGAGUGCUAGCUGUCGGGCCCUUAGGGUUCGGUGGCGCUGCUAACGCAUUAAGCACUCCGCCUGGGGAGUACGGUCGCAAGAUUAAAACUCGAAGGAAUUGACGGGGACCCGCACAAGCG